RNAcentral lists this long non-coding RNA (1621 nucleotides) under Nicotiana benthamiana. Its description in RNAcentral is "long non-coding RNA (NBEN_LNC039297)". The record is from RNAcentral. Lineage: Eukaryota; Viridiplantae; Streptophyta; Magnoliopsida; Solanales; Solanaceae.
CUCUCUACCCAAGGGUAGGGGUAAGGUCUGCGUACACACUACCCUCCUCAGACCCCACUAAGUGGGAUUAUACUGGGUUGUUGUUGUUGUUGUUUAUGCUGGCAUGAAGAUUGUUAGGGAAAAUUGGAAAAUCUACAGGCUAGAACUUCACUUGUACCAUGUUUAUUAUGUAUUUUUAUCGGAAAAAAUUCUCAGGCUUAUGGAAGGUUCCAUAACUCACUCCUGUCCAGUUUAAGAAAUUUGAGUAGGUCAAUGUUGGAGUUAGCCAACCAAGAAUAUAGUUCAUUUUUGCAGUCUUCAUCUGAUGACAUAAGUUCCCUUCCCGGUGACAUGUAUUUCAUUUAUACAAGCUAUAUUUAGUUAAUGAGAAUCAUGACAUUGACUUCAACAUUUUAGUCAGUUCAUAUGUGUUUCAUACACACUCACUAAGAAAUGCUUUAAUAAAAGAGUAUUGAGCAAGAAGAUGGCAGUUGAGGAGAGCAAAUAAGAGGGUCUACCACCAAUUAACAGUUUGUUCAGCUGGAGGCAACCAUUUAUACAUGGAAAUACUAAUAUUAAAAGAUGUUCUCACAAUAGGAAAAUCAAAAUGAUAAUGACAAUUUGAAGAAGAUCAGCGCAUGUAACAACAGGAAAUAUCCAACUUAAAUUACCUGAUAGAAUGUGAUUGGAAUUCUUGAGGUUAUUCCUGGACAAGUCAAGGCUUUCAAGGUAUGGAAGAUCAUUGAAUAGGCAAUGUGGCAUACUAUCAUCUAUAAGAUUAUUGUCGCUUAGAUCCAAUCUCCGGAUAUUCUUUAGUCCACACAUUGAUACAUGAAUUCAUUAAAAUGUGUUACAACUGCUUAGAUCUAAUCUCCGGAUAUUCUUUAGUCCACACAUUGAUACAUGUAUUCAUUAAAAUGUGUUACAACGAAACCAAGGUAAAAACUUUGAUGCAACAUCUACAAUUGAUUAAGAAUCUAUCACUGAGAAAAAACAAACCUCUGAGAAGUGGUAAAGAGGAACUAGGAAAAACCCCUGAAAGGUACAGCUAUUCUAGAGAUGCGAGGCUACAUACUUGAAAAUGAGGCAGAGCAUUACCAUUUAAAGGGUUGAAACUUAGAUCCAACUCCUUCAGGUUGUGCAAUUUGCAUAAUGCUGCAAGUUUAAGUUGUUAAAAAGUAAUACUCCAACAUGCGAAGAAGUGAAGGAGAUAAGGGUCAUGGGUGCAGAAUCUUUUAAAAAACAACAAAUCUUAGAGUUCUAAGGAUUCAAGGGGAAGUGCUCAUUAUGUUAAGCAAAUAUUAACAGCAGUAAGCGUUUGUACAAAUUAUACUACUACAUACUGAGGGAGAUAAGCUGUAGCAUCAUGUAGGUUUGAUCAAAUGAAACAUGAAUACAGGUAAUGAAAGCACUUUUUGGUCAAAUGAAUACCUUCUGGCAUGAUCCAGUUGCCAAUAGCAUUGCCAGAUACAUACAGAGACUGAAGAUGCGUGAAACGAGACAACAAGGUUGCAUCAGGAUGCCAUAUUCCAAGUCCAAGUUGUCUUUUAUUGGUAAGAAAAAUAUCAAGAACACGCGAAUCAUUGUUCGGAUCACUGCCACAAAAUACCAGCCCAUGCACAAUAGUCUUCUCCAACCCAUU